This 221-nucleotide long non-coding RNA is filed under the name Elaeis guineensis (African oil palm). RNAcentral's name for it is "long non-coding RNA (EGUI_LNC011808)". The record is from RNAcentral. Lineage: Eukaryota; Viridiplantae; Streptophyta; Magnoliopsida; Arecales; Arecaceae.
CAGCUCGAUAUUGUUCCUCUCUAGUUGCCCUGAUUGGUACUUCAGCAAGUCAAUCUCUUCUUUCUCCAUUCUCGGAACAUCGGGAUUGAAACUCGUAAGGCUCGCCAAAUAUCGGCCCACAUGUGCAAGAGACCUUAAAGCAUUGACAAAUCACUUCUCUCCCCUUUGAUCGUCGAGGAACAGCCUCUUAGUUGACAGUAGGAGAUUUCUCAGGUACCCCA